GGGUUGUGAGGUUAAGCGACUAAGCGUACACGGUGGAUGCCCUGGCAGUCAGAGGCGAUGAAGGACGUGCUAAUCUGCGAUAAGCGUCGGUAAGGUGAUAUGAACCGUUAUAACCGGCGAUUUCCGAAUGGGGAAACCCAGUGUGUUUCGACACACUAUCAUUAACUGAAUCCAUAGGUUAAUGAGGCGAACCGGGGGAACUGAAACAUCUAAGUACCCCGAGGAAAAGAAAUCAACCGAGAUUCCCCCAGUAGCGGCGAGCGAACGGGGAGGAGCCCAGAGCCUGAAUCAGUGUGUGUGUUAGUGGAAGCGUCUGGAAAGGCGCGCGAUACAGGGUGACAGCCCCGUACACAAAAAUGCACAUGCUGUGAGCUCGAUGAGUAGGGCGGGACACGUGGUAUCCUGUCUGAAUAUGGGGGGACCAUCCUCCAAGGCUAAAUACUCCUGACUGACCGAUAGUGAACCAGUACCGUGAGGGAAAGGCGAAAAGAACCCCGGCGAGGGGAGUGAAAAAGAACCUGAAACCGUGUACGUACAAGCAGUGGGAGCCUCUUUUAUGGGGUGACUGCGUACCUUUUGUAUAAUGGGUCAGCGACUUAUAUUCUGUAGCAAGGUUAACCGAAUAGGGGAGCCGAAGGGAAACCGAGUCUUAACUGGGCGUUAAGUUGCAGGGUAUAGACCCGAAACCCGGUGAUCUAGCCAUGGGCAGGUUGAAGGUUGGGUAACACUAACUGGAGGACCGAACCGACUAAUGUUGAAAAAUUAGCGGAUGACUUGUGGCUGGGGGUGAAAGGCCAAUCAAACCGGGAGAUAGCUGGUUCUCCCCGAAAGCUAUUUAGGUAGCGCCUCGUGAAUUCAUCUCCGGGGGUAGAGCACUGUUUCGGCAAGGGGGUCAUCCCGACUUACCAACCCGAUGCAAACUGCGAAUACCGGAGAAUGUUAUCACGGGAGACACACGGCGGGUGCUAACGUCCGUCGUGAAGAGGGAAACAACCCAGACCGCCAGCUAAGGUCCCAAAGUCAUGGUUAAGUGGGAAACGAUGUGGGAAGGCCCAGACAGCCAGGAUGUUGGCUUAGAAGCAGCCAUCAUUUAAAGAAAGCGUAAUAGCUCACUGGUCGAGUCGGCCUGCGCGGAAGAUGUAACGGGGCUAAACCAUGCACCGAAGCUGCGGCAGCGACACUAUGUGUUGUUGGGUAGGGGAGCGUUCUGUAAGCCUGUGAAGGUGUGCUGUGAGGCAUGCUGGAGGUAUCAGAAGUGCGAAUGCUGACAUAAGUAACGAUAAAGCGGGUGAAAAGCCCGCUCGCCGGAAGACCAAGGGUUCCUGUCCAACGUUAAUCGGGGCAGGGUGAGUCGACCCCUAAGGCGAGGCCGAAAGGCGUAGUCGAUGGGAAACAGGUUAAUAUUCCUGUACUUGGUGUUACUGCGAAGGGGGGACGGAGAAGGCUAUGUUGGCCGGGCGACGGUUGUCCCGGUUUAAGCGUGUAGGCUGGUUUUCCAGGCAAAUCCGGAAAAUCAAGGCUGAGGCGUGAUGACGAGGCACUACGGUGCUGAAGCAACAAAUGCCCUGCUUCCAGGAAAAGCCUCUAAGCAUCAGGUAACAUCAAAUCGUACCCCAAACCGACACAGGUGGUCAGGUAGAGAAUACCAAGGCGCUUGAGAGAACUCGGGUGAAGGAACUAGGCAAAAUGGUGCCGUAACUUCGGGAGAAGGCACGCUGAUAUGUAGGUGAAGUCCCUCGCGGAUGGAGCUGAAAUCAGUCGAAGAUACCAGCUGGCUGCAACUGUUUAUUAAAAACACAGCACUGUGCAAACACGAAAGUGGACGUAUACGGUGUGACGCCUGCCCGGUGCCGGAAGGUUAAUUGAUGGGGUCAGCGCAAGCGAAGCUCUUGAUCGAAGCCCCGGUAAACGGCGGCCGUAACUAUAACGGUCCUAAGGUAGCGAAAUUCCUUGUCGGGUAAGUUCCGACCUGCACGAAUGGCGUAAUGAUGGCCAGGCUGUCUCCACCCGAGACUCAGUGAAAUUGAACUCGCUGUGAAGAUGCAGUGUACCCGCGGCAAGACGGAAAGACCCCGUGAACCUUUACUAUAGCUUGACACUGAACAUUGAGCCUUGAUGUGUAGGAUAGGUGGGAGGCUUAGAAGUGUGGACGCCAGUCUGCAUGGAGCCGACCUUGAAAUACCACCCUUUAAUGUUUGAUGUUCUAACGUGGACCCGUGAUCCGGGUUGCGGACAGUGUCUGGUGGGUAGUUUGACUGGGGCGGUCUCCUCCUAAAGAGUAACGGAGGAGCACGAAGGUUGGCUAAUCCUGGUCGGACAUCAGGAGGUUAGUGCAAUGGCAUAAGCCAGCUUGACUGCGAGCGUGACGGCGCGAGCAGGUGCGAAAGCAGGUCAUAGUGAUCCGGUGGUUCUGAAUGGAAGGGCCAUCGCUCAACGGAUAAAAGGUACUCCGGGGAUAACAGGCUGAUACCGCCCAAGAGUUCAUAUCGACGGCGGUGUUUGGCACCUCGAUGUCGGCUCAUCACAUCCUGGGGCUGAAGUAGGUCCCAAGGGUAUGGCUGUUCGCCAUUUAAAGUGGUACGCGAGCUGGGUUUAGAACGUCGUGAGACAGUUCGGUCCCUAUCUGCCGUGGGCGCUGGAGAACUGAGGGGGGCUGCUCCUAGUACGAGAGGACCGGAGUGGACGCAUCACUGGUGUUCGGGUUGUCAUGCCAAUGGCACUGCCCGGUAGCUAAAUGCGGAAGAGAUAAGUGCUGAAAGCAUCUAAGCACGAAACUUGCCCCGAGAUGAGUUCUCCCUGACUCCUUGAGAGUCCUGAAGGAACGUUGAAGACGACGACGUUGAUAGGCCGGGUGUGUAAGCGCAGCGAUGCGUUGAGCUAACCGGUACUAAUGAACCGUGAGGCUUAACCUUACAACGCCGAAGCUGUU
Molecule: ribosomal RNA, 2929 nt
Filed under: Escherichia coli
Lineage: Bacteria; Pseudomonadati; Pseudomonadota; Gammaproteobacteria; Enterobacterales; Enterobacteriaceae
Description: 23S ribosomal RNA
Rfam family: Bacterial large subunit ribosomal RNA
Source: RNAcentral